GAUGAACGCUGGCGGCGUGCCUAAUACAUGCAAGUCGAGCGAACAGACGAGGAGCUUGCUCCUCUGACGUUAGCGGCGGACGGGUGAGUAACACGUGGAUAACCUACCUAUAAGACUGGGAUAACUUCGGGAAACCGGAGCUAAUACCGGAUAAUAUAUUGAACCGCAUGGUUCAAUAGUGAAAGACGGUUUUGCUGUCACUUAUAGCUGGAUCCGCGCCGCAUUAGCUAGUUGGUAAGGUAAAGGCUUACCAAGGCAACGAUGCGUAGCCGACCUGAGAGGGGGAUCGGCCACCCUGGAACGUAGACACGGUCCAGACGCCUACGGGAGGCAGCAGUAGGGAAUCGUCCGCAAUGGGCGAAAGCCUGACGGAGCAACGCCGCGCGAGUGAUGAAGGUCUUCGGAUCGUAAAACUCUGUUAUUAGGGAAGAACAAAUGUGUAAGUAACUAUGCACGUCUUGACGGUACCUAAUCAGAAAGCAACGGCUAACUACGUG
Molecule: ribosomal RNA, 497 nt
Filed under: uncultured bacterium
Lineage: Bacteria
Description: partial 16S ribosomal RNA
Rfam family: Bacterial small subunit ribosomal RNA
Source: RNAcentral